RNAcentral lists this ribosomal RNA (212 nucleotides) under uncultured Bacillus sp. RNAcentral's name for it is "partial 16S ribosomal RNA". It matches the Rfam family "Bacterial small subunit ribosomal RNA", at positions 1167 to 1382 of the family's 1533-position model. Lineage: Bacteria; Bacillati; Bacillota; Bacilli; Caryophanales; Bacillaceae. The record is from RNAcentral.
AGGAAGUGGGAUGACGUCAAUCAUCAUGCCCUUAUGUUCUGGGCUACACACGUGCUACAAUGGCCGGUACAGACGGACGCAAAGCCGCGAGGUGGAGCAAAUCCUAAAAAGCCGGUCUCAGUUCGGAUUGCAGGCUGCAAUUCGCCUGCAUGAAGUCGGAAUCGCUAGUAAUCGCAGGUCAGCAUACUGCGGUGAAUACGUUCCCGGGCCUU